Molecule: unclassified non-coding RNA, 542 nt
Filed under: Staphylococcus delphini
Lineage: Bacteria; Bacillati; Bacillota; Bacilli; Caryophanales; Staphylococcaceae
Description: 16S-23S ribosomal RNA intergenic spacer
Source: RNAcentral
AAGGAUAAUAUACGGAAUAUCACCAUYAGGUGAUAAGCGGAUUAACGUGACAUAUUGUAUUCAGUUUUGAAUGCUCAUUCAUUUGAGGAUUCAGAAUGAUUUGUACAUUGAAAACUAGAUAAGUAAGUAUAGAUUUUACCAAGCAAAACCGAGUGACAAGCGUUUAAAAGCUUGAAACAAAAAAUUAUCGCUAGUCGUCAAAUGACGACUCACAUAAUUAAUAACUGGUGAUUUUGGACAAGAUUGUAUUUCGGUAGACAGACAUGAUGUUUUGAAAACGUUUGUCAGUCUAUGAAUCGCAAGCAUGAGCGAAGGYGCUUACUACGCGUAAGUAACUGAGUGAAUGUGAAGUGAUGAAGCCGAAUGCGAACGUUUGCCAAAAUAUUAUUGUGAUAGGUGACGUAUUUAUGGAUUGACCAAACGUURAUGAAAGCGUUUGUCAGUCAACGCAUUUCUUGAUGCGCGCAGUGAAGUUUACUUUCYGUAAAUGAACAAGCGAAGAAAGAAAUAAGGCAGAAUGCGAACGCUUAUCAUAACGUUWA